CCUACGGGUGGCAGCAGUGAGGAAUAUUGGUCAAUGGGCGAGAGCCUGAACCAGCCAAGUCGCGUGAAGGAUGACGGCCCUACGGGUUGUAAACUUCUUUUGUCAGGGAGCAAUUGAGUCCACGUGUGGUCUUAGCGAGAGUACCUGACGAAUAAGCCACGGCUAACUACGUGCCAGCAGCCGCGGUAAUACGUAGGUGGCAAGCGUUAUCCGGAUUUAUUGGGUGUAAAGGGCGUGUAGGCGGGAAUGCAAGUCAGAUGUGAAAACUAUGGGCUCAACCCAUAGCCUGCAUUUGAAACUGUAUUUCUUGAGUGCUGGAGAGGCAAUCGGAAUUCCGUGUGUAGCGGUGAAAUGCGUAGAUAUACGGAGGAACACCAGUGGCGAAGGCGGAUUGCUGGACAGUAACUGACGCUGAGGCGCGAAAGCGUGGGGAGCAAACAGGAUUAGAUACCCGGGUAGUC
Molecule: ribosomal RNA, 461 nt
Filed under: uncultured bacterium
Lineage: Bacteria
Description: partial 16S ribosomal RNA
Rfam family: Bacterial small subunit ribosomal RNA
Source: RNAcentral